AUUAGAGUUUGAUCCUGGCUCAGAUUGAACGCUGGCGGCACGCCUAACACAUGCAAGUCGAGCGGCAGCGAGACUAGUAGCAAUACUAGUUGUCGGCGAGCGGCGGACGGGUGAGGAACACGUAGGAAUCUGCCCAGAAGAGGGGGAUAACCAAGGGAAACUUUGGCUAAUACCGCAUAAACUCGAGAGAGGAAAGCUGCCCGCAAGGGUGGCGCGUUUGGAGGAGCCUGCGUCCGAUUAGCUAGUUGGUGGGGUAAGAGCCCACCAAGGCGAUGAUCGGUAACUGGUCUGAGAGGACGACCAGUCACACUGGGACUGAGACACGGCCCAGACUCCUACGGGAGGCAGCAGUGGGGAAUUUUGGACAAUGGGGGCAACCCUGAUCCAGCCAUUCCGCGUGAGUGAAGAAGGCCUUCGGGUUGUAAAGCUCUUUCAGCUGGAACGAAACGGUACAGGUUAAUACCCUGUGCUAAUGACGGUACCGGCAGAAGAAGCACGGCUAACUACGUGCCAGCAGCCGCGGUAAUACGUAGGGUGCGAGCGUUAAUCGGAAUUACUGGGCGUAAAGCGUGCGCAGGCGGAUUGUUAAGCAAGAUGUGAAAUCCCCGGGCUUAACCUGGGAAUGGCAUUUUGAACUGGCAGUCUAGAGUGCGUCAGAGGGGGGUGGAAUUCCACGUGUAGCAGUGAAAUGCGUAGAGAUGUGGAGGAACACCAAUGGCGAAGGCAGCCCCCUGGGAUGACACUGACGCUCAUGUACGAAGCGUGGGUAGCAAACAGGAUUAGAUACCCUGGUAGUCCACGCCCUAAACGAUGUCAACUGGUUGUUGGGGGAGUGAAAUCCCUUAGUAACGAAGCUAACGCGUGAAGUUGACCGCCUGGGGAGUACGGUCGCAAGAUUAAAACUCAAAGGAAUUGACGGGGACCCGCACAAGCGGUGGAUGAUGUGGAUUAAUUCGAUGCAACGCGAAAAACCUUACCUACCCUUGACAUGUCCGGAAUCCUGCAGAGAUGCGGGGGUGCCCGAAAGGGAAUCGGAACACAGGUGCUGCAUGGCUGUCGUCAGCUCGUGUCGUGAGAUGUUGGGUUAAGUCCCGCAACGAGCGCAACCCUUAUCAUUAGUUGCUACGCAAGGGCACUCUAAUGAGACUGCCGGUGACAAACCGGAGGAAGGUGGGGACGACGUCAAGUCAUCAUGGCCCUUACGUCCAGGGCGACACACGUGCUACAAUGGCCGGUACAGAGCGUCGCAAGCUGGCAACAGCAAGCCAAUCGCCAAAAGCCGGUCUAAGUUCGGAUUGCAGUCUGCAACUCGACUGCAUGAAGCUGGAAUCGCUAGUAAUCGUGGAUCAGCCACGCCACGGUGAAUACGUUCCCGGGCCUUGUACACACCGCCCGUCACGCCAUGGAAGCUGGGGGGACCUGAAGCCGGUGGGCUAACCCGCAAGGGGGGCAGCCGUCAAAGGUCAAUUCAGUGACUGGGGCGAAGUCGUAACAAGGUAACC
This 1502-nucleotide ribosomal RNA is filed under the name uncultured Thiobacillus sp. RNAcentral's name for it is "bacterial SSU rRNA". It matches the Rfam family "Bacterial small subunit ribosomal RNA". Lineage: Bacteria; Pseudomonadati; Pseudomonadota; Betaproteobacteria; Nitrosomonadales; Thiobacillaceae. The record is from RNAcentral.